GAUGAACGCUGGCGGCGUGCCUAAUACAUGCAAGUCGAACGAACAAUCUCAGCUGUCUCUUUGGAUUAGUUGCGAACGGGUGUGUAACACGUGAGUAACCUGCCCUGAAAUCUGGCUUAAGCCGGGGAAACUGGGUCGAAUACGGGAGAUAAGCGUGCAUCGCAUGGAUUGUUUUGGAAUGAUUUAUCGGUUUUGGAUGGACUAGCGGUCUAUCAUCUCGUUGGUGAGGAUAUGGUUCACAAAGGAGACGACGGGUAGCCGGCCUGGGAGGGUGACCGGCCACACUGGGACUGAGAAAGGGCCCAGACUGCUACGGGAGGCAGCGGUGGAGAAUAUUGCAAAAUAGGCGAAAGGCUGAUGCAGCGACGCCGGGUGAGGGAUGACGGCCUUAGGGUUGUAAACCUCUUUCAGUAGGGAAGAAGACACAGUGACGGUACCUGCAGAAGAAGCAACGGCUAACUACGUG
RNAcentral lists this ribosomal RNA (466 nucleotides) under uncultured bacterium. RNAcentral's name for it is "partial 16S ribosomal RNA". It matches the Rfam family "Bacterial small subunit ribosomal RNA", at positions 28 to 507 of the family's 1533-position model. The record is from RNAcentral.